CGCUCCCUCUGGCGGCAGGCCUAACACAUGCAAGUCGAACGAACUCUUCGGAGUUAGUGGCGGACGGGUGAGUAACACGUGGGAACGUGCCUUUUGGUUCGGAAUAACUCAGGGAAACUUGUGCUAAUACCGAAUGUGCCCUUCGGGGGAAAGAUUUAUCGCCAUUAGAGCGGCCCGCGUCUGAUUAGCUAGUUGGUGAGGUAACGGCUCACCAAGGCGACGAUCAGUAGCUGGUCUGAGAGGAUGACCAGCCACACUGGGACUGAGACACGGCCCAGACUUCUACGGGAGGCAGAAGUGGGGAAUCUUGCGCAAUGGGCGAAAGCCUGACGCAGCCAUGCCGCGUGAAUGAUGAAGGUCUUAGGAUUGUAAAAUUCUUUCACCGGGUACGAUAAUGACGGGACCCGGAGAAGAAGCCCCGGCGAACGUCG
This 431-nucleotide ribosomal RNA is filed under the name uncultured bacterium. Its description in RNAcentral is "partial 16S ribosomal RNA". It matches the Rfam family "Bacterial small subunit ribosomal RNA", at positions 36 to 505 of the family's 1533-position model. The record is from RNAcentral.